This 429-nucleotide ribosomal RNA is filed under the name uncultured bacterium. RNAcentral's name for it is "bacterial SSU rRNA". It matches the Rfam family "Bacterial small subunit ribosomal RNA", at positions 355 to 776 of the family's 1533-position model. The record is from RNAcentral.
UGGGGAAUAUUGGACAAUGGGGGCAACCCUGAUCCAGCGAUGCCGCGUGUGCGAAGAAGGCCUGCGGGUUGUAAAGCACUUUGAGUGGGGAAGAAAGGCUCAAGUCGAAUAGGCUUGAGAGUUGACGUUACCCACAGAACAAGCACCGGCUAACUCUGUGCCAGCAGCCGCGGUAAUACAGAGGGUGCGAGCGUUAAUCGGAAUUACUGGGCGUAAAGGGCGCGUAGGCGGAUUAUUAAGUUAGAUGUGAAAUCCCUGGGCUUAACCUGGGAAUGGCAUUUAAUACUGGUGGUCUAGAGUAGAGUAGAGGGAAGUGGAAUUUCCGGUGUAGCGGUGAAAUGCGUAGAGAUCGGAAAGAACACCAGUGGCGAAGGCGGCUUCCUGGACUCAUACUGACGCUGAGGCGCGAAAGCGUGGGGAGCAAACAGG